AAACAUGACUCUGAUCGGCGUCCUCAUCUGGACUCUCCUCUGCUGCUGCUUCACAGAGUCCAGAGGCCAGAUCACAGUGACUCAGCCUGGAGCAGUGAGCUCUGCUCUGGGAGAGUCCGUCACCAUCAACUGUAAGACCAGUCCAGAGGUUUAUAAUGGGAACUAUUUACACUGGUACCAACAGAAAGAUGGAGAAACUCCUAAACUGCUCAUUUACUAUACUAACAGCCGAGCAUCAGGGAUUCCAGAUCGUUUUACAGGCAGUGGAUCAAACACUGACUUCACUCUGACCAUCAGUGGAGUCCAGACUGAAGAUGCAGCAGUUUACUACUGUCAGAGUGUUCAUUAUAUCAACAGUCAGUGGUUGUUCACACAGUGAAAAAGAGUCGUACAAAAACCUCCCUCAGUCAGACUGAACAGAAACUGAACUGACUGCUGCAGCUGGAAGCUACAACAGAGACUGAUACACUUCACUGAGGACACACACACACACACACACACACACACACACACACACAGGUCGAAGCCCCUCCCUGCGGAUCAUCAGUAUUUUACAGGAAGUGAUGGCCUGCUUAUCCAGGAGCACAGAAAAAGCUUCACUUCAUAAAUUCAUGAGGUUUUCAGCUCUACGUGUGAAUAGAAAACAGCAGAGGAGCAGAAAGUCUUUUGUUGACCGUCAUUAAGAAAUGUACGACUGAUGUGAACAGCCAGGCUGCUGCUCAUGUGAGGGUUGACAUAUUUCAGCACUUUUGCUCCAUGAACUCUGUCAUGCUGCCGUUGUUUGGUUCAGUGUCACAAAGCAAAGGCAGCAUCAUGACGGGUUUCCUUUAUGGCAGUUUUGAAGGAUCUCUGUGCAAAAGGGGCCUCUGAUAGGCUGCACUGACUGAACUAUGAGACAUGACGAGUGAUGCACGUAAACAUCGUUUUGAAAUAAAAUCAGGUUCUAUGAAUGUCAAAUCUUUAGCUUGUUUCAGAGAGACACCCUCUGUCUCCGUAGAUGUAACGGACCAACUGGAGUCUUUUAAACAGCAACACAUGACAGAGUUUUUAAAUGCUGUCAGCUCUUUCAUUAGUCUGUUGAUGAAUGGUUACUCUGAAAUUUUAAUAUUCUUGCAGGAAAAUCUCAGAUCAAAGAUAUUUUCUGUACGUUGAUGCAGAUGAUAUGCUGCUUUACAUAUACAAAUCUGCAAAUCCUCUUUCCAUUAUAUUUGGUUUGUGUAAAGAUUUGGGAUCAUAUCAAGGAACAGAUCAAGCACUUGUUAUGAAUACUCAUGAAAAUCAGCCCAACAACAGAGAGUUACAAGAUUUUCCAUUGAAAUGGUCAAAAUAUGGGUCAUUUUAACAAAGUUCCAUAAAGCAGAAAACAACUGACGACUAAUGGAGAUCUUAAUAGUAUUAAUAAAAAUUCAGAGAAACUAAAGUCAAAACAUUUUGUGUGUAACAUGUGUAACAUACAUGAGUUGUAUAUUAAUUGUUUUAUAUGGCAAAUCUAAGACAAAAUCAACAACAAAUAACUUCAUGAAAACUUCUGAUUUGAUGAAAUCUGUAUUAUUUUAAAAUCUUGAAACCAUCAACAUUAAAACAAGACAACAAGAGAGAAAGAGAAAGAGAGAGUGUUGCAGAUGCACAGCUGUGUAUCAUCCACUCUAUUAAUGGAAGCACUUCAAUUCUUCACUGAUCAAAUUGAUCGUUUCCUUUCAUCCCUGAUUAAUCUCAGCUCUUUUCCAACAUUAGCACUGUGUGGUCUGGUGUUGUGGUGUGUGAAAAAACUAAAACCAGCUUUUUGUGAAAUGAAAUUAGAUUUUGAGUUUUCGGUUUCGCUUACCCUCAUGUGCACCUUAAUCUUCUCGAUGAGUUUUAGUCUUGCGUGUUAUAGUCAUGAUCUGUUUUUGUGUUCUGUAUUGUAGUUAUUAACACUAGACAAUUCUGGUGCCGCCGAAAUUUGACAGUGGCACG
This is a non-coding RNA of Chelmon rostratus (copperband butterflyfish), 1956 nucleotides long. The record is from the annotation of a RefSeq genome assembly. Lineage: Eukaryota; Metazoa; Chordata; Actinopteri; Chaetodontiformes; Chaetodontidae.